UAGGGAAUCUUCGGCAAUGGACGGAAGUCUGACCGAGCAACGCCGCGUGAGUGAAGAAGGUUUUCGGAUCGUAAAGCUCUGUUGUAAGAGAAGAACGAGUGUGAGAGUGGAAAGUUCACACUGUGACGGUAUCUUACCAGAAAGGGACGGCUAACUACGUGCCAGCAGCCGCGGUAAUACGUAGGCCCCGAGCGUUGUCCGGAUUUAUUGGGCGUAAAGCGAGCGCAGGCGGUUAGAUAAGUCUGAAGUUAAAGGCUGUGGCUUAACCAUAGUAGGCUUUGGAAACUGUUUAACCUGAGUGCAAGAGGGGAGAGUGGAAUUCCAUGUGUAGCGGUGAAAUGCGUAGAUAUAUGGAGGAACACCGGUGGCGAAAGCGGCUCUCUGGCUUGUAACUGACGCUGAGGCUCGAAAGCGUGGGGAGCAAACAGGAUUAGAUACCCUGGUAGUCCACGCUGUAAACGAUGAGUGCUAGGUGUUAGACCCUUUCCGGGGUUUAGUGCCGUAGCUAACGCAUUAAGCACUCCGCCUGGGGAGUACGACCGCAAGGUUG
This 550-nucleotide ribosomal RNA is filed under the name uncultured bacterium. RNAcentral's name for it is "bacterial SSU rRNA". It matches the Rfam family "Bacterial small subunit ribosomal RNA", at positions 355 to 896 of the family's 1533-position model. The record is from RNAcentral.